RNAcentral lists this ribosomal RNA (253 nucleotides) under uncultured bacterium. RNAcentral describes it as "partial 16S ribosomal RNA". It matches the Rfam family "Bacterial small subunit ribosomal RNA", at positions 524 to 776 of the family's 1533-position model. The record is from RNAcentral.
UACGUAGGUGGCGAGCGUUGUCCGGAUUUACUGGGCGUAAAGAGCCCGCAGGCGGUCCGUUAAGUUUCAGGUGAAAUCUCCCGGCUCAACCGGGAGGGUGCCUGGAAAACUGGCGGACUUGAGGCAGGGAGAGGGAUGUGGAAUUCCAGGUGUAGCAGUGAAAUGCGUAAAUAUCUGGAGGAACACCGAUGGCGAAGGCAGCCUCCUGGGCUAGUACUGACGCUCAUGCACGAAAGCGUGGGGAGCAAACAGG